This 305-nucleotide ribosomal RNA is filed under the name uncultured bacterium. RNAcentral describes it as "bacterial SSU rRNA". It matches the Rfam family "Bacterial small subunit ribosomal RNA", at positions 338 to 636 of the family's 1533-position model. The record is from RNAcentral.
CCUACGGGAGGCAGCAGUGGGGAAUAUUGCGCAAUGGGCGAAAGCCUGACGCAGCGACGCCGCGUGAGGGAUGAAGGUCUUCGGAUCGUAAACCUCUGUCAGCAGGGAAGAACGGUCACUGUGAUAAUCAGCAGUGAAUUGACGGUACCUGCAAAGGAAGCAUCGGCUAACUCCGUGCCAGCAGCCGCGGUAAUACGGAGGAUGCGAGCGUUAUCCGGAUUUAUUGGGUUUAAAGGGUGCGCAGGCGGUCUGUUAAGUCAGCGGUCAAAGCCCGGGGCUCAACCCCGGCCCGCCGUUGAAACUGG